CUUUGGUGGAGGAUGUUCCUCUGCUUCCCUAACCCUAACCCUGACAUCUGAAAUGAAAUCCUGCCUUCAUUGCACCCUGUUGUUCUUUUGGUCCGGUUUCUUUUCAGGGAAGGCAGUUUUAAAACAAAGAAACCGGUCUGCUCUAAAGGCGAUGAAAAUAGUGGAUUCCAUUUGCUUGAAAGCAAUUUCGGCCAAGGGUUGUUAGUACACUUCGACACGAUCCGUGCAUGGUUCGUCCCUGCCGACG
RNAcentral lists this non-coding RNA (247 nucleotides) under Bathyberthella antarctica. The record is from RNAcentral. Lineage: Eukaryota; Metazoa; Mollusca; Gastropoda; Pleurobranchida; Pleurobranchidae.